UGAAUACGAGACGCUAAGGCGUCGAAGUAGUGUAUGUCAUACUUCCAAGAAAAGCUUGCACUGUCAUAGAUAAAAAACGCCUGUACCAUAACCGACACAGGUGGGUAGGUAGAGUAUACUAAGGGGCGCGAGAUAACUCUCUCUAAGGAACUCGGCAAAAUAACUCCGUAACUUCGGGAGAAGGAGUGCCUUAUUAUUAAGGCUGCAAUAACAAGAUCCAAGCAACUGUUUAUCAAAAACACAGGUCUCCGCUAAGUCGUAAGACGAUGUAUGGGGGCUGACGCCUGCCCAGUGCCAGAAGGUUAAAGAAGUUGGUUAGCAUUUGCGAAGCUGAUAACUGAAGCCCUGGUGAACGGCGGCCGUAACAAUAACGGUCCUAAGGUAGCGAAAUUCCUUGUCGGGUAAGUUCCGACCCGCACGAAAGGCGUAAUGAUUUGGAUACUGUCUCGGAGAGGGGCUCGGUGAAAUAGACUUGUCUGUGAAGAUGCGGACUACCUGCACCAGGACAGAAAGACUCUAUGAAGCUUUACUGUAACUUGAAAUUGAAAUUGGACUUUAUUCGCGCAGCAUAGGUGGGAGGCGUUGAUUAUAAUCUUGUGGGAUUAUUGGAGCCAUCAGUGAGAUACCACUCUUGUAAUGUUAGAUUUCUAACUUUGAAUCAUUAUCUGGUCAAAGAACAGUUUCAGGCGGGCAGUUUGACUGGGGCGGUCGCCUCCUAAACGGUAACGGAGGCGUACAAAGGUUUCCUCUGAACGGUUAGAAAUCGUAUCUAGAGUGUAAAGGCAUAAGGAAGCUUGACUGUGAGACCUACAAGUCGAGCAGGGACGAAAGUCGGUCUUAGUGAUCUGACGGUACUGAGUGGAAAGGCCGUCACUCAACGGAUAAAAGUUACUCUAGGAUAACAGGCUGAUCUCCCCCAAGAGUUCACACCGACGGGGAGGUUUGGCACCUCGAUGUCGGCUCAUCGCAUCCUGGGGCGGUAGUACGUCCCAAGGGUUGGGCUGUUCGCCCAUGAAAGCGGUACGCGAGCUGGGUUCAGAACGUCGUGAGACAGUUCGGUCCAUAUCCGGUGUAGGCGUUAGAAUAUUGAGAGGAGCCUUCUUUAGUACGAGAGGACCGAGAAGGACAUACCUCUGGUGUACCAGUUAUCGUGCCAACGGUAAACGCUGGGUAGCUAUGUAUGGAGUGGAUAACCGCUGAAAGCAUCUAAGUGGGAAGCCCACCUCAAGAUAAG
Molecule: ribosomal RNA, 1234 nt
Filed under: metagenome
Description: bacterial LSU rRNA
Rfam family: Bacterial large subunit ribosomal RNA
Source: RNAcentral